This 1401-nucleotide ribosomal RNA is filed under the name Klebsiella pneumoniae subsp. pneumoniae. Its description in RNAcentral is "bacterial SSU rRNA". It matches the Rfam family "Bacterial small subunit ribosomal RNA". The record is from RNAcentral. Lineage: Bacteria; Pseudomonadati; Pseudomonadota; Gammaproteobacteria; Enterobacterales; Enterobacteriaceae.
GCAGUCGAGCGGUAGCACAGAGAGCUUGCUCUCGGGUGACGAGCGGCGGACGGGUGAGUAAUGUCUGGGAAACUGCCUGAUGGAGGGGGAUAACUACUGGAAACGGUAGCUAAUACCGCAUAAUGUCGCAAGACCAAAGUGGGGGACCUUCGGGCCUCAUGCCAUCAGAUGUGCCCAGAUGGGAUUAGCUAGUAGGUGGGGUAACGGCUCACCUAGGCGACGAUCCCUAGCUGGUCUGAGAGGAUGACCAGCCACACUGGAACUGAGACACGGUCCAGACUCCUACGGGAGGCAGCAGUGGGGAAUAUUGCACAAUGGGCGCAAGCCUGAUGCAGCCAUGCCGCGUGUGUGAAGAAGGCCUUCGGGUUGUAAAGCACUUUCAGCGGGGAGGAAGGCGUUGAGGUUAAUAACCUUGUCGAUUGACGUUACCCGCAGAAGAAGCACCGGGCUAACUCCGUGCCAGCAGCCGCGGUAAUACGGAGGGUGCAAGCGUUAAUCGGAAUUACUGGGCGUAAAGCGCACGCAGGCGGUCUGUCAAGUCGGAUGUGAAAUCCCCGGGCUCAACCUGGGAACUGCAUUCGAAACUGGCAGGCUAGAGUCUUGUAGAGGGGGGUAGAAUUCCAGGUGUAGCGGUGAAAUGCGUAGAGAUCUGGAGGAAUACCGGUGGCGAAGGCGGCCCCCUGGACAAAGACUGACGCUCAGGUGCGAAAGCGUGGGGAGCAAACAGGAUUAGAUACCCUGGUAGUCCACGCCGUAAACGAUGUCGAUUUGGAGGUUGUGCCCUUGAGGCGUGGCUUCCGGAGCUAACGCGUUAAAUCGACCGCCUGGGGAGUACGGCCGCAAGGUUAAAACUCAAAUGAAUUGACGGGGGCCCGCACAAGCGGUGGAGCAUGUGGUUUAAUUCGAUGCAACGCGAAGAACCUUACCUGGUCUUGACAUCCACAGAACUUUCCAGAGAUGGAUUGGUGCCUUCGGGAACUGUGAGACAGGUGCUGCAUGGCUGUCGUCAGCUCGUGUUGUGAAAUGUUGGGUUAAGUCCCGCAACGAGCGCAACCCUUAUCCUUUGUUGCCAGCGGUUCGGCCGGGAACUCAAAGGAGACUGCCAGUGAUAAACUGGAGGAAGGUGGGGAUGACGUCAAGUCAUCAUGGCCCUUACGACCAGGGCUACACACGUGCUACAAUGGCAUAUACAAAGAGAAGCGACCUCGCGAGAGCAAGCGGACCUCAUAAAGUAUGUCGUAGUCCGGAUUGGAGUCUGCAACUCGACUCCAUGAAGUCGGAAUCGCUAGUAAUCGUAGAUCAGAAUGCUACGGUGAAUACGUUCCCGGGCCUUGUACACACCGCCCGUCACACCAUGGGAGUGGGUUGCAAAAGAAGUAGGUAGCUUAACCUUCGGGAGGG